GAUGAACGCUGGCGGCGUGCCUAAUACAUGCAAGUCGAGCGAACAGACGAGGAGCUUGCUCCUCUGACGUUAGCGGCGGACGGGUGAGUAACACAUGGAUAACCUACCUAUAAGACUGGGAUAACUUCGGGAAACCGGAGCUAAUACCGGAUAAUAUAUUGAACCGCAUGGUUCAAUAGUGAAAGACGGUUUUGCUGUCACUUAUAGAUGGAUCCGCGCCGCAUUAGCUAGUUGGUAAGGUAACGGCUUACCAAGGCAACGAUGCGUAGCCGACCUGAGAGGGUGAUCGGCCACACUGGAACUAAGACACGGUCCAGACUCCUACGGGAGGCAGCAGUAGGGAAUCUUCCGCAAUGGGCGAAAGCCUGACGGAGCAACGCCGCGUGAGUGAUGAAGGUCUUCGGAUCGUAAAACUCUGUUAUUAGGGAAGAACAAAUGUGUAAGUAACGAUGCACGUCUUGACGGUACCUAUCAGAAAGCCACGGCUAACUACGUG
This 496-nucleotide ribosomal RNA is filed under the name uncultured bacterium. RNAcentral's name for it is "partial 16S ribosomal RNA". It matches the Rfam family "Bacterial small subunit ribosomal RNA", at positions 28 to 507 of the family's 1533-position model. The record is from RNAcentral.